This 1307-nucleotide long non-coding RNA is filed under the name Lonchura striata (white-rumped munia). RNAcentral describes it as "domestica (Bengalese finch) lncRNA (ENSLSDG00000016798.1)". The record is from RNAcentral. Lineage: Eukaryota; Metazoa; Chordata; Aves; Passeriformes; Estrildidae.
AUUUUAAUCGUUUCGAAAAUGCCAAAAAUUCCCCUGGCUUUCCCCCAGUGGUUGUGGUUAGAUUAUGUAUGAGGUUUUUGACAUUAUUUACCCAGAUGAGGGAAGGAUUACAUAAGAGGGCUGCAAGCCUAUAAAAGUGUCCUCACUUGGCACAGACAGGAACCAGGUUAGACUUUUUCAAAGGCAGCUGAAACCUGUAGCUGCAUAGAAAAAAAAAAAAAUCAGAAGAACAGAACUUCUCUGGGAGAUAGACACUAAGAUUACUUUGCAUAGAACUAUUUCUCAUGUUUUCUUCUGAUAGUAUUCCCAGUUGGACAGAAAGCACCUGAAUCUGCUUGGAUGAUGAACAGGAGAAAGCAUUCCUGGGCAGCCAUUGUGGGAGGAAACAAGAAGGGGGAGAAAAUGGCUGGGGAAAAUGCAAGAAUGCUGCCCAAGGCCACACGUGAGGAGAGAAAGAAGCAGGAGGCAAAGAGGAAAGAGAAAUUGAAAACCUUGGCUGGCAAAUUGCUGAAGACUGCGGUUGGUGGGAAGGAAACGGUGGAGAAGGCUGGUGCUGAGGAUGUGGCAGGGAAUUUGCUGAAGAGGCCAAGCAGUAGGAAAGGAGUGGAGAGAGGGCUGCCUGCAGAGGAAACCAUCUGCAGAUUCAUUGAGCAAGGAAAAUUUUUGGAAGCUUGUGAUCAAAUUCAUAAUCUGGAGCAUUCUGGAAGUGAUGGUAUGGGGAAGUCUGAAUCACUUUAUGUGCUGCUGGCUGAACGAAUGUGGACUGUAGUGGGAGAAGCAUUGGGUGGAAGUGAUAGGAUGCUCCUGGAGCCAUUGCAGUCAGUGGGGGAAUCACUGAAGUGGGAGAAGCAGAAGGAAGCAGAGCGGCUUGGCAACGGCCUAGAGACAGAUUCUGUUUCCACCUGGAGCCCAAACUUCUGGAGAAAAGAUCUGGAGGAAAAGCUAAUGCAGUACAUGACUGCCCAGAUCCCCCUGUUUGCUUCCUCUGCUAACACAGAUGAGACUGCACUAAAACAACACCUGAGUCAUCUGGAAAUGACGUUUCUCCCCAGUCUGGAGCACAGAAGUGAUGUCUUCAAGGAAGCAGGAUUGCUCGUCACCUAUGCCCGCUGCUGUCAUGCCUCUUUGUGUUCUCACCUGGCCACACUUACUGACAGGAACUGUUUCAGCUUCAGCCAAAGCCUUUUAAUUCAUGGAUGGAUCAUUAAAAUGUACAAAAGAGGCAGCCAGGCAUGUGAGAGACCCGGGCACAGCCCCCAGCACAGCCUUUCCCCUGGUGCACAGUGCCUCGUGUGGAUUCUCUGGAA